Molecule: RNA transcript, 2214 nt
Organism: Calypte anna (Anna's hummingbird)
Lineage: Eukaryota; Metazoa; Chordata; Aves; Apodiformes; Trochilidae
Gene: CLCC1
Gene name: chloride channel CLIC like 1
Exons: 13
Source: RefSeq, a predicted model, not a curated record
CCCGCUGCCGCCCCCCACUCCCCUAAGGGCAGGAGCGGAGCCUCCGCCGCCCCGUACCGGGGGAGAGGCUUCCCCGGGGCUGGGGGCGGUGCUGGGCCUGGGCGGUGAGAAGCGGGUACGGAAAGGCGGCCGUGAGGGGCAGGGAGUGGUGCGGACCCUGCCCCGGCUGCCGGAGGCCUGGCGACGCGGGGGAAGAGGCCGAGAAUCUCUGCGGCCCUUCAGUGAUACAGGAUGCUGUUUCCUUUGGUAUUGUGUGCAGUUGUUCUAAUAGGGAGUGGUAAAGUUCAAGAUGAUGAUUGGAUUGACCCCACGGAUAUGCUCAAUUAUGAUGCUGCAUCAGGAGCAAUGAGAAGACCUUUAAAGGCAAACUAUCAUGACUCUGAGGACAAAACUGUGGAUGCAGUCAGUACUGAAAUCUUACCGAGUUGUUCCAGGGAAGUAGAUUCCUUGCAACAGAAGAUUGUAGAAUGUGAGAAGAGGAAUGCCAAAUCACGUGAGAGCCGUAGCUUUUAUAUUUUUAAGCGAUACUUGAACAAGAUUUUAAAUGAAGCUGGAAAACUUGGCCUUCCUGAGGAGAAUGUGGGCCGUGUCCAUUAUGAUGCUGAGAUCAUCCUUACAAGACAGCAGUAUUUGGAGAUCCUCAGGUUUCUCAAUGAGGAAACCUGGCAGUCAGGUGCUGUGGAUGAUGCACUCAGUGACAUUUUGGUCAACUUUAAGCAUCAUGAUUAUGAUGCUUGGAACUGGAGAUUUGAAGACACUUUUGGGAUUGAUCUAUAUAAUUUAUUUAUGAUACUCUUGUGCUUAGUGUGCAUUGUAACUGUUAUAGCUACAGAGCUCUGGACACAUAUUCAUUGGUUUGUUCAACUAAAACGUGUUUUAUUAAUAAGUUUUCUCAUCAGUUUUGCAUGGAACUGGCUUUACUUGUAUAAGGUGGCUUUUGCACAGCAAAAAGCAGACAUUGCAAAAAUGGGGCAGUUUGAUAACAUCUGUGCUGAGAAGCUGGGCUGGAGAGAAAGUCUGCUUGAGUGGUUCACAAGUAAAUGGACAUUGCAGGAUGAUGCCUGUCAGAAGUACUAUGAAACUCUACUGGUAAAUCCAGUUCUGCUGGUCCCACCCACAAAGGCAUUGGCAAUUACUUUCACCAACUUUGUAACUGAGCCUUUGAAGCAUGUAGGACAAGGAGUUGGUGAAUUCAUCAAAGCGCUAAUGAAGGAGAUACCAUUCAUUCUGCAGAUUCCAGUGCUCUUUAUGAUGGCUCUGGCUGUUCUGGCUUUCUGCUACGGUGCAGGAUCAUCAGUGUCUAUGCUAAGAUACUUGACCUCUCAGAACAGAAGUCUUCCUCCCUCUGAGAGUCACCAGGCCAACACUGACUUGGUGCCUUACAAUGGGAGUCAGUCAGAUGGAUACAAUUUGCAGAGGCCUCGUUAUGUUCACAGAGGAUCUUACGACAGAGGGGAUGCUCCCCUGGGGCCAGGAAACAGCAGUGGGGGUCCUGACAUCCUGCACACCAGCACUGUGCCACACACGCAAGUAGAAGACUCUCAUGUACCAGAACCUGCUAAUAGAUUGCACACUGAGCCUGAAGUUUGUAGACUAGAAACUAUCACAGCUGAAAAUCUUACUGAAGAACAUGUACUUGAGCAGCAGAAAGAGGAGGCAGGCAAAGCAGAGCAAGAGACUGGAAAAAAUUGUGAUCCUAAUAAAAACCUAGAAGGGAAGAGUUCUGCAAUGGAACCAUGCAAAGAGAAGAACAGCAGUUCUCACGGGGAAGUGACCAAGAAAGAAGAGGAGCAGGUCUCAUUGGAUGCACAGGAGGGAGACAAAGGAAGCCCCAAGCUCUGAUCAAACAAAAAUGGUAACUAAGAUGCUACUAUACAAUAUGUGCCUGUUCCUUUCUUCAUCUGGAAUUUGAUCCCUUUAUCACUGAAGGUGGAGUAGAGGAUGUUGCCACAGAAGCAGCUGAAAAUCUGUUCUUCUCCUGGAAGUGGUACCUCUGGUCAUCCAUCCUGUUACUCUGGAAUCGACUCAGCAGAUCAAAGAACCCUUCAUCUGCCAUUGUCUCUCGACUGUUUUUCUGAAGAAGAGAGAAGAGUUAGGGGUUUCUGGAACUCCAGACUACCUGAACAGGGAAAACUGCAUCACAGUUUCAGUCCAGUGGUAAUGUUUGAUAUAUGUGUAUCUGAAAUCCAUUAAAUUAAUUUUUUUAGUCAUCCA